GAUGAACGCUGGCGGCGUGCCUAAUACAUGCAAGUCGAGCGAACGGACGAGAAGCUUGCUUCUCUGAUGUUAGCGGCGGACGGGUGAGUAACACGUGGAUAACCUACCUAUAAGACUGGGAUAACUUCGGGAAACCGGAGCUAAUACCGGAUGAUAUUUUGAACCGCAUGGUUCAAAAGUGAAAGACGGUCUUGCUGUCACUUAUAGAUGGAUCCGCGCUGCAUUAGCUAGUUGGUAAGGUAACGGCUUACCAAGGCAACGAUGCAUAGCCGACCUGAGAGGGUGAUCGGCCACACUGGAACUGAGACACGGUCCAGACUCCUACGGGAGGCAGCAGUAGGGAAUCUUCCGCAAUGGGCGAAAGCCUGACGGAGCAACGCCGCGUGAGUGAUGAAGGUCUUCGGAUCGUAAAACUCUGUUAUUAGGGAAGAACAUAUGUGUAAGUAACUGUGCACAUCUUGACGGUACCUAAUCAGAAAGCCACGGCUAACUACGUGCCAGCAGCCGCGGUAAUACGUAGGUGGCAAGCGUUAUCCGGAAUUAUUGGGCGUAAAGCGCGCGUAGGCGGUUUUUUAAGUCUGAUGUGAAAGCCCACGGCUCAACCGUGGAGGGUCAUUGGAAACUGGAAAACUUGAGUGCAGAAGAGGAAAGUGGAAUUCCAUGUGUAGCGGUGAAAUGCGCAGAGAUAUGGAGGAACACCAGUGGCGAAGGCGACUUUCUGGUCUGUAACUGACGCUGAUGUGCGAAAGCGUGGGGAUCAAACAGGAUUAGAUACCCUGGUAGUCCACGCCGUAAACGAUGAGUGCUAAGUGUUAGGGGGUUUCCGCCCCUUAGUGCUGCAGCUAACGCAUUAAGCACUCCGCCUGGGGAGUACGACCGCAAGGUUGAAACUCAAAGGAAUUGACGGGGACCCGCACAAGCGGUGGAGCAUGUGGUUUAAUUCGAAGCAACGCGAAGAACCUUACCAAAUCUUGACAUCCUUUGACAACUCUAGAGAUAGAGCCUUCCCCUUCGGGGGGGACAAAGUGACAGGUGGUGCAUGGUUGUCGUCAGCUCGUGUCGUGAGAUGUUGGGUUAAGUCCCGCAACGAGCGCAACCCUUAAGCUUAGUUGCCAUCAUUAAGUUGGGCACUCUAAGUUGACUGCCGGUGACAAACCGGAGGAAGGUGGGGAUGACGUCAAAUCAUCAUGCCCCUUAUGAUUUGGGCUACACACGUGCUACAAUGGACAAUACAAAGGGCAGCGAAACCGCGAGGUCAAGCAAAUCCCAUAAAGUUGUUCUCAGUUCGGAUUGUAGUCUGUAACUCGACUACAUGAAGCUGGAAUCGCUAGUAAUCGUAGAUCAGCAUGCUACGGUGAAUACGUUCCCGGGUCU
This 1374-nucleotide ribosomal RNA is filed under the name uncultured bacterium. Its description in RNAcentral is "bacterial SSU rRNA". It matches the Rfam family "Bacterial small subunit ribosomal RNA", at positions 28 to 1381 of the family's 1533-position model. The record is from RNAcentral.